GGGGUUGUGGCUCAGUGGUAGAGCGCUCACCUAGCAUGUGCACAGCGCUGAGUUCAAUCCUCAGCACCACA
This 71-nucleotide transfer RNA is filed under the name Marmota monax (woodchuck). Its description in RNAcentral is "tRNA.Ala". Lineage: Eukaryota; Metazoa; Chordata; Mammalia; Rodentia; Sciuridae. The record is from RNAcentral.